Homo sapiens (human) is the source of this 820-nucleotide long non-coding RNA. Ensembl annotates it as PPP1R3B divergent transcript. Its record names the gene PPP1R3B-DT. NCBI's taxonomy places the organism in Eukaryota, Metazoa, Chordata, Mammalia, Primates, Hominidae. The record is from Ensembl.
UUCUUGCAGAUCCCCUGCCUGCAGCACGUGCUGAUCUCCAAGGGUGAGGCUGGAUGAAGCCAGGGGCUAUGGAAAGGGAGACUGUUUCAGAGGACUUGACACCAUCUUCAGUAAUUUCUCUGGUUCUUGGCAGCUCCAUUUGGCUGCGUCCCUACCCUGCAUAACCCUCCCAGCUAGUCUACUCCAGGGCAGCAUCCAGCUGGUGACCUGAGAGGGCAGUGGCGCACCAGUCUCCAUGAAGGUUGAGCUCCGAUGGCCAACAGCCAUUUCCACCUUGUGGUCUACAACUCUUCAUCCCGACUGCAUGGAGGUUGGUCUCUCUCUUCAGCUGGAUUUAGGCCACCAUCUGAGCCCCCGGGGUACGUUUUGUCUGACCCUGGCGCCAUUCGAACGGUUCUUCUACAGCAUCAGUUCUCUUUCCUGCCACCAUGUGAAGAAGGACAUGUUUGCUUCCCCUUCUGCCAUGAAUGGACAGGGUCCUGCUGUGUUGCCCAGGCUGGCCUUGAACUCCUGGCUUCAAACAGUCUUCCCACUUGGGCUCCCAAAGUGCUGGGAUUAAAGGGGCGAGUUACAGCACCAGGACCUGAAAUGAAAAACAUGGCCAGCAAAGCAGGUGAGGCAAAGAUCAGGAAGGACAUUAAACGCCAAACUAAGGAGCGGAACUGAAUGAGCAGUGAAGGGGAACAAUGGCUUCAGCAGGUCCACUGGGCUCCUCUUUUCUGUCAGCCUCCCCCUACCCCUCACCUCUGUACUACUCAUGUUACUAUCUACGUCUCUUCACCAAUGUCAUUGUGGAAAUAAAAGCUUAUCUGUAAGAGUA